AGCAGCCGCGGUAAUUCCAGCUCCAAUAGCGUAUAUUAAAGUUGUUGCAGUUAAAAAGCUCGUAGUUGAAUUUCGGGAUCAAUAUGUUGGUCGUGCCUUGGUACGUACUGGCAUUAUCGAUUCCUACCUUCUGAAGAACCUCGAUGUCAUUAAUUUGGUGUCUUGGGGAAUCAGGACUGUUACUUUGAAAAAAUUAGAGUGUUUAAAGCAGGCUCGCGCUUGAAUACAUUAGCAUGGAAUAAUGAAAUAGGACGUUUGAUUCUAUUUUGUUGGUUUCUAGGAUCGACGUAAUGAUUAAUAGGGAUAGUUGGGGGCAUUAGUAUUCAAUUGUCAGAGGUGAAAUUCUUGGAUUUAUUGAAGACUAACUACUGCGAAAGCAUUUGCCAAGGAUGUUUUCAUUAAUCAAGAACGAAAGUUAGGGGAUCGAAGACGAUCAGAUACCGUCGUAGUCUUAACCAUAAACUAUGCCGGC
RNAcentral lists this ribosomal RNA (472 nucleotides) under uncultured Glomus. RNAcentral describes it as "SSU rRNA". It matches the Rfam family "Eukaryotic small subunit ribosomal RNA", at positions 569 to 1046 of the family's 1831-position model. Lineage: Eukaryota; Fungi; Glomeromycota; Glomeromycetes; Glomerales; Glomeraceae. The record is from RNAcentral.